Long non-coding RNA from Haliotis rubra (blacklip abalone), 100 nucleotides. RefSeq lists it as uncharacterized. The record is from RefSeq and is a predicted model, not a curated record. The transcript is spliced from 3 exons. Lineage: Eukaryota; Metazoa; Mollusca; Gastropoda; Lepetellida; Haliotidae.
GUGAGGUGAGGUGAAAUGGGGUUUAACGUCGUACUUAAGGCUAUUUCGCUCAUGUGAUGAUGUGCAUGCAUGUGUAUGUGUGUUUUGUACUCUUGUACUA